This 71-nucleotide transfer RNA is filed under the name Marmota monax (woodchuck). RNAcentral's name for it is "tRNA.Ala". The stretch from base 8 to 64 matches the Rfam family "tRNA", at positions 8 to 63 of the family's 71-position model. Rfam says of the family: Transfer RNA (tRNA) molecules are approximately 80 nucleotides in length. Their secondary structure includes four short double-helical elements and three loops (D, anti-codon, and T loops). Lineage: Eukaryota; Metazoa; Chordata; Mammalia; Rodentia; Sciuridae. The record is from RNAcentral.
GAGGAUGUAGCUCAAUGGUAGAGUGCUUGCCUAGCAUGUAUGAGGUCCUGGGUUCGAUCCCCAGUGCUGCA